GCCAGACUCCUACGGGAGGCAGCAGUGAGGAAUAUUGGUCAAUGGACGAGAGUCUGAACCAGCCAAGUAGCGUGAAGGAUGACUGCCCUAUGGGUUGUAAACUUCUUUUAUAAAGGAAUAAAACGAGGCACGUGUGCCUUUUUGCAUGUACUUUAUGAAUAAGGAUCGGCUAACUCCGUGCCAGCAGCCGCGGUAAUACGGAAGGUCCGGGCGUUAUCCGGAUUUAUUGGGUUUAAAGGGAGCGUAGGCCGGCUUUUAAGUCAGCUGUGAAAGUCCGCGGCUCAACCGUGGAAUUGCAGUUGAAACUGGAGGCCUUGAGUGCACACAGGGAUGCCGGAAUUCAUGGUGUAGCGGUGAAAUGCUUAGAUAUCAUGAAGAACUCCGAUCGCGAAGGCAAGUGUCCGGGGUGCAACUGACGCUGAGGCUCGAAAGUGCGGGUAUCAAACAGGAUUAGAUACCCGUGUAC
This 466-nucleotide ribosomal RNA is filed under the name uncultured bacterium. Its description in RNAcentral is "partial 16S ribosomal RNA". It matches the Rfam family "Bacterial small subunit ribosomal RNA", at positions 330 to 793 of the family's 1533-position model. The record is from RNAcentral.